AACCUGGUUGAUCCUGCCAGUAGUCAUAUGCUUGUCUCAAAGAUUAAGCCAUGCAUGUCUCAGUACAAGCCAAAAUAAGGUGAAACCGCGAAAGGCUCAUUAAAUCAGUUAUGGUUCCUUAGAUCGUACCCACAUUUACUUGGAUAACUGUGGUAAUUCUAGAGCUAAUACAUGCAAACAGAGCUCCGACCGGAGACGGAAGGAGUGCUUUUAUUAGAUCAAAACCAAUCGGUGGCGAGUUCGCUUGCGUUCUCGUCCACCGCCAAUUAUGGUGACUCUGAAUAACUUUAUGCUGAUCGCACGGUCUUGCACCGGCGACGCAUCUUUCAAAUGUCUGCCUUAUCAACUGUCGAUGGUAGGUUCUGCGCCUACCAUGGUUGUAACGGGUAACGGGGAAUCAGGGUUCGAUUCCGGAGAGGGAGCCUGAGAAACGGCUACCACAUCCAAGGAAGGCAGCAGGCGCGCAAAUUACCCACUCCCGGCACGGGGAGGUAGUGACGAAAAAUAACGAUACGGGACUCAUCCGAGGCCCCGUAAUCGGAAUGAGUACACUUUAAAUCCUUUAACGAGGAUCAAUUGGAGGGCAAGUCUGGUGCCAGCAGCCGCGGUAAUUCCAGCUCCAAUAGCGUAUAUUAAAGUUGUUGCGGUUAAAAAGCUCGUAGUUGAAUUUGUGUCCCGCGCUGUCGGUUCACCGCCCGCGGUGUUUAACUGGCACGAUCGCGGGACGUCCUGCCGGUGGAUGUGUGUGGUGCAAUGUUUCGGCACUGUGUCACCGCAUCCGACUCAACAAUCCUGUCGCGGUGCUCUUAAUUGAGUGUCGAGGCGGGCCGGCACGUUUACUUUGAACAAAUUAGAGUGCUCAAAGCAGGCUAAAAUUUCGCCUGAAUACUGUGUGCAUGGAAUAAUGGAACAGGACCUCGGUUCUAUUUUGUUGGUUUUCGGAACCCCGAGGUAAUGAUUAAUAGGGACAGAUGGGGGCAUUCGUAUUGCGACGUUAGAGGUGAAAUUCUUGGAUCGUCGCAAGACGGACAGAAGCGAAAGCAUUUGCCAAAAAUGUUUUCAUUAAUCAAGAACGAAAGUCAGAGGUUCUAAGGCGAUCAGAUACCGCCCUAGUUCUGACCAUAAACGAUGCCAGCUAGCGAUCCGUCGACGUUCCUCCGAUGACUCGACGGGCAGCUUCCGGGAAACCAAAGCUUUUGGGUUCCGGGGGAAGUAUGGUUGCAAAGCUGAAACUUAAAGGAAUUGACGGAAGGGCACCACCAGGAGUGGAGCCUGCGGCUUAAUUUGACUCAACACGGGAAACCUCACCAGGCCCGGACACCGGAAGGAUUGACAGAUUGAGAGCUCUUUCUUGAUUCGGUGGGUGGUGGUGCAUGGCCGUUCUUAGUUGGUGGAGCGAUUUGUCUGGUUAAUUCCGAUAACGAACGAGACUCUAGCCUGCUAACUAGGCGUAACUUUCCGGUAUCUUGAAGGCCGGCGUCUCUCGUAUCCGUUCGUGCGUGGCCAUCGUUUCGGCGGUGUGUCGCGUAUGUGGCGGUCGGGAGUUCGUGGUUUUUACUACCGGCGUACAAUUGUAUCUUCUUAGAGGGACAGGCGGCUCCUAGCCGCACGAGAUUGAGCAAUAACAGGUCUGUGAUGCCCUUAGAUGUUCUGGGCCGCACGCGCGCUACACUGAAGGAAUCAGCGUGUCCUCCCUGGCCGAACGGCCCGGGUAACCCGCUGAACCUCCUUCGUGCUAGGGAUUGGGGCUUGCAAUUGUUCCCCAUGAACGAGGAAUUCCCAGUAAGCGCGAGUCAUAAGCUCGCGUUGAUUACGUCCCUGCCCUUUGUACACACCGCCCGUCGCUACUACCGAUUGAAUGAUUUAGUGAGGUCUUCGGACUGGCACGCGGCAGCGUUUCGACAUUGCCGAUGUCGCUGGGAAGAUGACCAAACUUGAUCAUUUAGAGGAAGUAAAAGUCCUAACAAGGUCUCCGUA
Molecule: ribosomal RNA, 1977 nt
Filed under: Cychrus italicus
Lineage: Eukaryota; Metazoa; Arthropoda; Insecta; Coleoptera; Carabidae
Description: SSU rRNA
Rfam family: Eukaryotic small subunit ribosomal RNA
Source: RNAcentral